This 253-nucleotide ribosomal RNA is filed under the name uncultured bacterium. RNAcentral's name for it is "partial 16S ribosomal RNA". It matches the Rfam family "Bacterial small subunit ribosomal RNA", at positions 524 to 776 of the family's 1533-position model. The record is from RNAcentral.
UACGUAGGUGGCAAGCGUUGUCCGGAUUUACUGGGCGUAAAGAGCGCGCAGGCGGUCGACCAAGUCGCGUGUGAAAGCCCCCGGCUCAACUGGGGAGGGUCACGCGAUACUGAUCGACUCGAAGGCAGGAGAGGGUAGUGGAAUUCCCGGUGUAGUGGUGAAAUGCGUAGAUAUCGGGAGGAACACCUGUGGCGAAGGCGGCCAUCUGGACAACUACUGACACUGAGACGCGAAAGCGUGGGUAGCAAACAGG